AAGCUUCUGCAAUGGGUCCCUCUGAGCUAAUACUAACACGAGAAACUCUCGAUGAAGAGCAAGAAGAGAGGGAGAGUGACACUGAUGACAUUGACCAUGAAGUGACUGAGGAGAGUCAUGAAGAACCAGCCUUCAGAAACUUUAUGCAGGACACGCGGAUGAAAUUCCAGAGGAGAAGCAACCCGAAUGAAUGAGACCUGCAGAAACAGAAGUAACUGUUGGUCCGAUGAGUUAAAGGUCUUGCAGCCAACUGACUGUACAUCUGGCCAUCUGCCACUGUGGCUUCCUGAAGCUGAAGGAACCAGAAAGCAGUUUCUUUUCCUGCAAAUUCUUCAGAUCUCUCCGUUGAGAGCUUAGAUUUAGAGCUCUGACAGCAUUAGCAUCCAGAGUACUCACUGGUCCCCAGAGGCA
Neopelma chrysocephalum (saffron-crested tyrant-manakin) is the source of this 411-nucleotide long non-coding RNA. RefSeq lists it as uncharacterized. The transcript is spliced from 3 exons. The record is from RefSeq and is a predicted model, not a curated record. Lineage: Eukaryota; Metazoa; Chordata; Aves; Passeriformes; Pipridae.